AGCUCCAAUAGCGUAUAUUAAAGUUGUUGCGGUUAAAAAGCUCGUAGUUGGAUUUCUGUCGAAGACAGCCGGUCCGCUCUAUGAGCGUGUAUCUGGUUCGGCUUUGGCAUCCUCGUGGGGAACGUAGCUGUGCUUCGUUGCAUGGUGCGGUAUUCACGACUUUUACCUUGAGGAAAUUAGAGUGUUCACGGCAGGCAAGCGCCAUGAAUACAUUAGCAUGGAAUAAUAUUAUAGGACUUCAGUUCUAUUUUGUUGGUUUCAGAACGGAAGUAAUGAUUAAUAGGGAUAGUUGGGGGCAUUUGUAUUAACGCGUCAGAGGUGGAAUUCUUGGAUUGCGUUACGACGAACUACUGCGAAAGCAUUUGCCAAGGAUGUUUUCA
Molecule: ribosomal RNA, 380 nt
Filed under: uncultured eukaryote
Lineage: Eukaryota
Description: SSU rRNA
Rfam family: Eukaryotic small subunit ribosomal RNA
Source: RNAcentral